UUAUAACCUUGGCCGAAAGGUCUGGGUAAUCUUGUGAAACUCAGUCGUGCUGGGGAUAGAGCAUUGCAAUUAUUGCUCUUCAACGAGGAAUGCCUAGUAAGCGCAAGUCAUCAGCUUGCGUUGAUUACGUCCCUGCCCUUUGUACACACCGCCCGUCGCUACUACCGAUUGAAUGGCUUAGUGAGAUCUCCGGAUUGGCUU
This 201-nucleotide ribosomal RNA is filed under the name uncultured Chlorophyceae. RNAcentral's name for it is "partial Eukaryotic small subunit ribosomal RNA". It matches the Rfam family "Eukaryotic small subunit ribosomal RNA", at positions 1521 to 1721 of the family's 1831-position model. The record is from RNAcentral. Lineage: Eukaryota; Viridiplantae; Chlorophyta; Chlorophyceae.